Molecule: ribosomal RNA, 253 nt
Filed under: uncultured bacterium
Lineage: Bacteria
Description: partial 16S ribosomal RNA
Rfam family: Bacterial small subunit ribosomal RNA
Source: RNAcentral
UACGUAGGGGGCAAGCGUUGUCCGGAUUUAUUGGGCGUAAAGAGCGUGUAGGCGGCCAAACAGGUCAGCUGUGAAAACUCGAGGCUCAACCUCGAGACGUCGGUUGAAACCGUUUGGCUAGAGUCCGGAAGAGGAGAGUGGAAUUCCCGGUGUAGUGGUGAAAUGCGCAGAUAUCGGGAAGAACACCCGUGGCGAAGGCGGCUCUCUGGGACGGUACUGACGCUGAGACGCGAAAGCGUGGGGAGCGAACAGG